This is a microRNA precursor of Oryza sativa Japonica Group (Japanese rice), 197 nucleotides long. It matches the Rfam family "MIR812 microRNA precursor family". Lineage: Eukaryota; Viridiplantae; Streptophyta; Magnoliopsida; Poales; Poaceae. The record is from Rfam.
AAUAAGUGCAGUUUUGCACUAUUCACGUUCAACGUUUGAUCGUUCGUCUUAUUUGAAAACUUUUUAUAAUUAGUAUUUUUAUUGCUAUUAGAUGAUAAAAUAUGAAUAAUAUUUUAUGUGUGACUAAAUAUUUUCAAAAUUUUCAAAUAAGACAUACGGUCAAACGUUGGACACGGAUAUCCACGGCUGCACUUAUU